This 77-nucleotide transfer RNA is filed under the name Gammaproteobacteria bacterium. RNAcentral describes it as "tRNA-Val". It matches the Rfam family "tRNA". From Rfam's summary of the family: Transfer RNA (tRNA) molecules are approximately 80 nucleotides in length. Their secondary structure includes four short double-helical elements and three loops (D, anti-codon, and T loops). The record is from RNAcentral. Lineage: Bacteria; Pseudomonadati; Pseudomonadota; Gammaproteobacteria. RNAcentral also lists the same sequence under 2 other names.
GGGCGAUUAGCUCAGUUGGUUAGAGCGCCUCCCUUACAAGGAGGAUGUCGGGGGUUCGAGUCCCUCAUCGCCCACCA